CCUUCGAUAGCUCAGUUGGUAGAGCGGUGGACUGUAGAUUAAGAAUACUGGUAUAGUCAUCCAUAGGUCGCUGGUUCAAAUCCGGCUCGAAGGA
RNAcentral lists this transfer RNA (94 nucleotides) under Aedes aegypti (yellow fever mosquito). RNAcentral describes it as "partial tRNA-OTHER". It matches the Rfam family "tRNA". Rfam says of the family: Transfer RNA (tRNA) molecules are approximately 80 nucleotides in length. Their secondary structure includes four short double-helical elements and three loops (D, anti-codon, and T loops). Lineage: Eukaryota; Metazoa; Arthropoda; Insecta; Diptera; Culicidae. The record is from RNAcentral.